Molecule: ribosomal RNA, 512 nt
Filed under: uncultured bacterium
Lineage: Bacteria
Description: partial 16S ribosomal RNA
Rfam family: Bacterial small subunit ribosomal RNA
Source: RNAcentral
GACGAACGCUGGCGGCGUGCCUAAUACAUGCAAGUCGAGCGAAUCACUGGGAGCUUGCUCCCGGUGGUUAGCGGCGGACGGGUGAGUAACACGUGGGCAACCUGCCUGUAAGACUGGGAUAACACCGGGAAACCGGUGCUAAUACCGGAUAAUCCUUUCCUGCACAUGCAGGAAAGCUGAAAGUCGGUUUCGGCUGACACUUACAGAUGGGCCCGCGGCGCAUUAGCUAGUUGGUGAGGUAACGGCUCACCAAGGCGACGAUGCGUAGCCGACCUGAGAGGUUGAUCGGCCACACUGGGACUGAGACACGGCCCAGACUCCUACGGGAGGCAGAAGUAGGGAAUCUUCCACAAUGGACGAAAGUCUGAUGGAGCAACGCCGCGUGAGCGAUGAAGGCCUUCGGGUCGUAAAGCUCUGUUGUUAGGGAAGAACAAGUACCGGAGUAACUGCCGGUACCUUGACGGUACCUAACCAGAAAGCCACGGCUAACUACGUGCCAGCAGCCGCGGUAA